UCGCGGCUUAUCACCGGCAGUCCCCUUAGAGUGCCCAACUGAAUGAUGGCAACUAAGGGCGAGGGUUGCGCUCGUUGCGGGACUUAACCCAACACCUCACGGCACGAGCUGACGACAGCCAUGCAGCACCUGUACAGAUUCUCCUUGCGGAACAAUGGCUUUCACCAAAUUUAAUCUGCGUUUCAAGCCUAGGUAAGGUUCUUCGCGUUGCAUCGAAUUAAACCACAUGCUCCACUGCUUGUGCGGGCCCCCGUCAAUUCCUUUGAGUUUCAACCUUGCGAUCGUACUUCCCAGGUGGAGAACUUAAUGCGUUAGCUAAGUCACUGACCCUUAAAAGGGCCAACAACUAGUUCUCAUCGUUUAGGGUGUGGACUAC
This 376-nucleotide unclassified non-coding RNA is filed under the name uncultured Ignavibacteria bacterium. Its description in RNAcentral is "contains 16S-23S intergenic spacer region". The record is from RNAcentral. Lineage: Bacteria; Pseudomonadati; Ignavibacteriota; Ignavibacteria.